CCUACGGGUGGCAGCAGUGAGGAAUAUUGGUCAAUGGACGCAAGUCUGAACCAGCCAAGUAGCGUGCAGGAUGACGGCCCUCCGGGUUGUAAACUGCUUUUAGUUGGGAAUAACAGGGGGCUCGUGAGCCCCGUAUUGUAUGUACCAUCAGAAAAAGGACCGGCUAAUUCCGUGCCCGCCGCCGCGGUAAGACGGAAGGUCGGGGCGUUCUCCGGAUUUAUUGGGUUUAAAGGGAGCGUAGGCCGGCUUUUAAGUCCGCUGUGAAAGUCCGGGGCUCAACCGUGGAAUUGCGGGUGAAACUGGAGUGCUUGAGUGCGCAGAGGGAAGGCGGAAUUCAUGGUGUAGCGGUGAAAUGCUUAGAUAUCAUGAAGAACCCCGAUCGCGAAGGCAAGUGUCCGGGGUGCAACUGACGCUGAGGCUCGAAAGUGCGGGUAUCAAACAGGAUUAGAUACCCGAGUAGUC
Molecule: ribosomal RNA, 462 nt
Filed under: uncultured bacterium
Lineage: Bacteria
Description: partial 16S ribosomal RNA
Rfam family: Bacterial small subunit ribosomal RNA
Source: RNAcentral